GAUGAACGCUGGCGGCGUGCCUAAUACAUGCAAGUAGAACGCUGAAGAGAGGAGCUUGCUCUUCUUGGAUGAGUUGCGAACGGGUGAGUAACGCGUAGGUAACCUGCCUUGUAGCGGGGGAUAACUAUUGGAAACGAUAGCUAAUACCGCAUAACAAUGGAUGACACAUGUCAUUUAUUUGAAAGGGGCAAUUGCUCCACUACAAGAUGGACCUGCGUUGUAUUAGCUAGUAGGUGAGGUAAUGGCUCACCUAGGCGACGAUACAUAGCCGACCUGAGAGGGUGAUCGGCCACACUGGGACUGAGACACGGCCCAGACUCCUACGGGAGGCAGCAGUAGGGAAUCUUCGGCAAUGGGGGCAACCCUGACCGAGCAACGCCGCGUGAGUGAAGAAGGUUUUCGGAUCGUAAAGCUCUGUUGUAAGUCAAGAACGGGUGUGAGAGUGGAAAGUUCACACUGUGACGGUAGCUUACCAGAAAGGGACGGCUAACUACGUG
This 497-nucleotide ribosomal RNA is filed under the name uncultured bacterium. RNAcentral describes it as "partial 16S ribosomal RNA". It matches the Rfam family "Bacterial small subunit ribosomal RNA", at positions 28 to 507 of the family's 1533-position model. The record is from RNAcentral.